Salvia miltiorrhiza (redroot sage) is the source of this 891-nucleotide long non-coding RNA. RefSeq lists it as uncharacterized. NCBI's taxonomy places the organism in Eukaryota, Viridiplantae, Streptophyta, Magnoliopsida, Lamiales, Lamiaceae. The record is from RefSeq and is a predicted model, not a curated record. The transcript has 4 exons.
CUUCGAUCAAAAUCUUAUGGAUUGAAUGUAUCCCGGAUUGCACUCACUUCCCCUAAUCAAUUUGGAUUCUAAAUGAGUAAAAUGUGGAUAUAUUUUACCUGUUUCUCGUCACUGUCCCAACAUUUCGUCGAACCGAUCAUACUUUUGAAGAACGACGGCGAGGGAAGGUUUUGGCGAAGCCCCAAGUUAUUGAUUCAAGGAACAGACAGAUCUAAAUAUUGAAGGUGAUCGUUCUAAUUUCGUUGAUAUAGUUUAAUUCAUCUUUAUAGUUUUGACUUAUCAAUUUUUGCCAUCGAUUUUUGGCAUUGAUUCAAGAGAUUAAUAAAUUUUUAUACAUUCAAAUGGAUUUUGAAGGAAUGGAUUUAUUUGUUUUGGAGAUAUUUUUCAUCUGUUCGCUUGUUUCAUCAGCCGCCGAACGUGUUUGUCGUGAGUAAUCUUGUUCCACAUACUCAAGGAAUUUUUUUAAGGUAAAAUGUUAUCUAUGGCUGUGAAAGAUAGUAUUGAUUCAGCAUUUGUGGGUGGUAAAAAGGUUCUCAAGUGAGCCAAAUGAUGAACAUGGAGGGCUGGAUGUUGGUGUGCAGCAAGAGGGAACAGAUAGUGAAUUCAACACGGAGGAAAAUGAAGCGCCGAAUAUGGCUGAUGCGGGUAUUGAUGAUGUGAUGGAUUCUGAUGUGAGAGCAACAAUCAGCUAAAAGAGGAAAAAGAAGGUAAUCAAGUCGGUGAGAGGUUGCAAAGCAGGCAUCCUUGCAUUGGAGCGAAGUUUGCGUGAACAAGAAUUUGAAUGUCAAUAUGUUGUUGAUUGGAUAAUAAAUGUUUUUUGUCUGGUUCGUUGUUGCGUGAACAACAAAUUGAAUAUCAACAUUCAAUGGUAUCGAUUCUUUAGAGCUUUUA